AUUGAACGCUGGCGGCAGGCUUAACACAUGCAAGUCGAGCGGGGUGAUGGUGCUUGCACUAUCACUUAGCGGCGGACGGGUGAGUAAUGCUUAGGAAUCUGCCUAUUAGUGGGGGACAACAUCUCGAAAGGGAUGCUAAUACCGCAUACGUCCUACGGGAGAAAGCAGGGGAUCACUUGUGACCUUGCGCUAAUAGAUGAGCCUAAGUCGGAUUAGCUAGUUGGUGGGGUAACGGCCUACCAAGGCGACGAUCUGUAGCGGGUCUGAGAGGAUGAGCCGCCACACUGGGACUGAGACACGGCCAAGACUCCUACGGGAGGCAGCAGUGGGGAAUAUUGGACAAUGGGGGGAGCCCUGAUCCAGCCAUGCCGCGUGUGUGAAGAAGGCCUUAUGGUUGUAAAGCACUUUAAGCGAGGAGGAGGCUCUUUUGGUUAAUACCCAAGAUGAGUGGACGUUACUCGCAGAAUAAGCACCGGCUAACUCUGUGCCAGCCGCCGCAGUAA
This 503-nucleotide ribosomal RNA is filed under the name uncultured bacterium. Its description in RNAcentral is "partial 16S ribosomal RNA". It matches the Rfam family "Bacterial small subunit ribosomal RNA", at positions 30 to 523 of the family's 1533-position model. The record is from RNAcentral.